CGCAAUGGGCGAAAGCCUGACGGAGCAACGCCGCGUGAGGGACGAAGGCCUCUGGGCUGUAAACCUCUUUUCUCAAGGAAGAAGAUAUGACGGUACUUGAGGAAUAGGCCACGGCUAAUUCCGUGCCAGCAGCCGCGGUAAUACGGGAGUGGCAAGCGUUAUCCGGAAUUAUUGGGCGUAAAGCGUCCGCAGGCGGCUUUUCAAGUCUGCUGUUAAAGCGUGGAGCUUAACUCCAUCAUGGCAGUGGAAACUGAAAGGCUUGAGUAUGGUAGGGGCAGAGGGAAUUCCCGGUGUAGCGGUGAAAUGCGUAGAUAUCGGGAAGAACACCAGUGGCGAAGGCGCUCUGCUGGGCCAUUACUGACGCUCAUGGACGAAAGCCAGGGGAGCGAAAGGGAUUAGAUACCCCUGUAGUCCUGGCCGU
This 421-nucleotide ribosomal RNA is filed under the name uncultured bacterium. Its description in RNAcentral is "bacterial SSU rRNA". It matches the Rfam family "Bacterial small subunit ribosomal RNA", at positions 367 to 803 of the family's 1533-position model. The record is from RNAcentral.